GUGCUCACUUUGGCAGCACAUAUACUAAAAUUGGAACAGUACUGGGAAGAUUGGCGCGGCCUCUGCACACAGAUGGCUCAGAUUCAUGAAGAGCUCUAUAUUAGA
Small nuclear RNA from Acomys russatus (golden spiny mouse), 105 nucleotides. The record is from RefSeq and is a predicted model, not a curated record. Lineage: Eukaryota; Metazoa; Chordata; Mammalia; Rodentia; Muridae.